GGGUUCUACCGUUGGUCGGGCUAACCAGUCUGUACUAGCGUGUAGAAUUCUUACCUUCUGGGGAACCAUCAUGUUAUUAAUUUAGCGUGGUGGGAAACCAGGACCUUUACCUUGAAAAAAUUAGAGUGUUCAAAGCAGGCUUACGUCUGAAUACAUUAGCAUGGAAUAAUAAAAUAGGACGGUGGUCCUGUUUUGUUGGUUUCUGAAUCACCGUA
RNAcentral lists this ribosomal RNA (215 nucleotides) under uncultured Glomeromycotina. Its description in RNAcentral is "partial small subunit ribosomal RNA". The stretch from base 41 to 215 matches the Rfam family "Eukaryotic small subunit ribosomal RNA", at positions 686 to 863 of the family's 1831-position model. Lineage: Eukaryota; Fungi; Glomeromycota. The record is from RNAcentral.